GACGAACGCUGGCGGCGUGCCUAAUACAUGCAAGUCGAGCGAAGUUUUUCUGGUGCUUGCACUAGAAAAACUUAGCGGCGAACGGGUGAGUAACACGUAAAGAACCUGCCUCAUAGACUGGGACAACUAUUGGAAACGAUAGCUAAUACCGGAUAACAGUAUUUCUCGCAUGAGAGAUAUUUAAAAGUUGGUUAUGCUAACACUAUGAGAUGGCUUUGCGGUGCAUUAGCUAGUUGGUGGGGUAAAGGCCCACCAAGGCGACGAUGCAUGGCCGACCUGAGAGGGGGGUCGGCCACACUUGGAACUGGACACCGCCCAGACUCCUAAGGGAAGCAGCAGUAGGGAAACUUCCGCAAAGGGGGGAAGCCUUGAGGAGCAACGGCGCGGGAGGGAAAAAGGAUUUCGGUUCGGAAAGCUCUGCUGUUAGGGAAGAAUGGAUAUGUAGUAACUAUACAUGUAAGAGACGGUACCUAACCAGAAAGCCACGGCUAACUACGUG
Molecule: ribosomal RNA, 499 nt
Filed under: uncultured bacterium
Lineage: Bacteria
Description: partial 16S ribosomal RNA
Rfam family: Bacterial small subunit ribosomal RNA
Source: RNAcentral